UACGGAGGGUGCAAGCGUUAUCCGGAUUCACUGGGUUUAAAGGGUGCGUAGGUGGGUUGGUAAGUCAGUGGUGAAAUCUCCGUGCUUAACAUGGAAACUGCCAUUGAUACUACUGAUCUUGAAUUUUCGGGAGGUAAGCGGAAUAUGUCAUGUAGCGGUGAAAUGCUUAGAUAUGACAUAGAACACCAAUUGCGAAGGCAGCUUACUACAGGAAUAUUGACACUGAUGCACGAAAGCGUGGGGGAUCAAACAGG
RNAcentral lists this ribosomal RNA (254 nucleotides) under uncultured bacterium. RNAcentral describes it as "partial 16S ribosomal RNA". It matches the Rfam family "Bacterial small subunit ribosomal RNA", at positions 524 to 776 of the family's 1533-position model. The record is from RNAcentral.